This 787-nucleotide long non-coding RNA is filed under the name Amborella trichopoda. RNAcentral's name for it is "long non-coding RNA (ATRI_LNC002236)". The record is from RNAcentral. Lineage: Eukaryota; Viridiplantae; Streptophyta; Magnoliopsida; Amborellales; Amborellaceae.
ACUGGAAGCAAAUACGGAGAAGGCUAGAGAGAGGUACAUCACUUUUGUACCAAAUAAAGUAGAAAAGGUAGAGAGAGAAAUAAGAGAUGGAACCCUUUAGUGGUACUGACAGCAUGAAUUGGAGUACUUUCAAAUACUUUGCAUCUGCAACUCCAGCCAUCUCUUGGAUGUUGAUUACCAAAACAUAUUUUCACCAACACUCCACAAAAAGAAAUGAUCCGAGAUAAGAGAAAACCCUGGUGAGAUAAGAGGGCAAAACAAAUUUGCAUGAUAUACAGGAAAAUUCAAUUAAUGAGUAUGUGAGUGUCCCGUCAAUCUCUAGUCUCUGAGCAUCGUAUCCAAAUUAAACACCAACAAAUAUUCAAAGUGAGAGAGAGAGUAAACUAGAGAGAGAAACAUAGCACGUUCUAGUGAGAGGGAAAAUUCUUCCCUGCCAUCACCCAGGCUUCGCGAUCAGAACAUGGUUGCCCCAUAUACAUCAGAUGCCGCCAUACCAGACCCACUUCUCCUCUCAAUGCGUGGCCUGCUGGGAGCUGAGCAGAGAAAGAGUUGUAUCCCCAAGGCCCGAACAUAAGGCCCAAACUGAUGAGAGAGAACUACUACAAGAAGAACGAAAUACAGAUAAGAGGAGCUGCCGAGUAGAGAACAUAAGGCCCAAAACGAUUGGAGAAGAGCCAAACUGAGAUCAGAGAAGUAUGAGAGGUGAAAUAGAGUUUUCACAUAUCACAGAGAAUACACAGAUCGUAUAAAACCUCGUUUUGAUAUCAUGUGAGAAAUUGUAUUUCUG